GAUGACCUCCAGAGGUCCCUUCUAACCUCUAUGAUUCUGUGAUAAGUAUGUAAUGCAUUUCAAAUAUUUUACCUCCUCAUAUUUCUUGGCAGACCCAGUCAACAGAUUAAAUUGAAGCUCUGAGCAGUUACUUAUCAACUGCUUUUAAUGGUAAUCUAAAUUUAAAUACCAUCUGAAGGAGAUUUGUGCUUGGAUGAAGGCUGACUAAGGCAGCUAACUGGGUGCUAGUAGUAUUUAAGCUAGAAGGCAGUGAGGGUUUGGGUUCUCCUGACUGGAGCAAAUAUCAGGGAGGUGCAGCAUAUGAGUAUCUUGUGCAGUACUCAGUGGGUCUUCUUCAAUCCUCAUGGCAGCACGUGCACUUUUUCUUCCACUUAGUUUUUCUUGUAAAAGCUUUGUGUUGCAGAUGGCAACAGUUGCCACGGUGUUCCAGGCCAAGAGGUUAGACUGCUGCCAGGUGUGGAGCCAGAGCCCGCAGCUGAGGAGCCACUGGGAGAACCCAGCUGGGACAACCAUGAUAACCUUCACACACCAGGAUCUUCUGAGUGUUGUCCUGCUGUUAUGGUUGCUGCAUCACUGACUUGGCUGAUGGAGUUGAGAACUGACUUAGAAAUGCAAAGGAGCCCCAAUAAGCUGUGAACGGAAGGAUCUUUAACGAGCACCUUGGAGGAUAAAAUCUGAAUUUGAAUUGAUCUUAAGGUGAAGAAUUAGGAUCAUAUAACCAAUGUGGGUGGUCAAGCAAAAAAACUCGUCUGAAACCAGUGGUGUCAAAACUGAAACUAUGAGUGAAAAAUUAAUCUGUGCUGUGUUUUAAAGCUGACGUGGCCUGUGCCUGAAGUUCUGAGGUCCAUAUCCCAUAGUGCUGAGGAAGGGUUCCUAUGGCUCCUCGCAUAGCCUGUGCAGUCUGCAGACAGUGGAUUGAUUUGAGCUUGCCUUCCUUGGGCUGGCUAACAAGGCCGUUCAGCUUUGAGUCCAUGGGAUCUGCCUGGGUAAGGCAUUGUCUUGAGGAAGAGCUGCUGCCAGUUUUUUGUUUUCCCUGCCACAAGCUAACUAGAAGCCAGAUUUUCAAGACAAGGUGUCCCUGAGCCUUCUGAGGAGGGCCUGCUGCCCCAGAGCCGCUCUGCUAGCACAGCACAGCACAGCAUUGCUGCAGCACCCAGCUUCGCUCCCUGGAGACACCGCUGCACACCAGGUAGGCGAUGAGCUGCUCACGGAGCUCCCUGCGGUGCUGUGUGGCUUAAGGCUGGCUCUGUGUGGAAAGAAAUGAUGAUGGUCAUUUAUGUAUGGAGCGUGAUGAGCUUUUGGGCAGAAGGCAAAGCAGAAGUGAUUGUUGGGUUAUUUGAUGAAGUGGUGUUUGAUAAUUACUGCAGUAAAGGCCCUUAUGGUUGGCUGGGACUGAGUGUGCUGCCUGAGUGCUGGGCUCUGCUCCUGGCAGGGGUCAGGCUCCAGGCGAGUCUGGAAAGGAGCUGCAUCAUACCACAGACCUAGCAGGAGACCACUGCAGGGUUUAAAUCCUGAUAUAAUCAGUGGAAAUGACAGAUAGUAGUCUGAAGAAAGAAAAAAAAUCUAUUAGGAAUAUGGAUUGAUGCAGCCCUGGGAUCCCAUCCACACUGCAGGCGGGUGCUGCGGGGAGGUGGGUGGUUGGGUGCUUCCAGCGCCCAAUGAGCACCAUGAAGUGACUCUCAAACAGGCGCGUCCCGAUAAUCGGGUCCGUAGAACUCAUCACAUGUCCAGCUUUAAAAGUAGAAAGAAAAUGUUCUGCGGGUCAUUAAAUCCACUGUGUGUGCCAUCGCGAUGAUGAAAUGGAGCUGUGGCUGAACAGGAUGGUGCCUUCAAAUGGAACUUCAGAGGAUAAAUAAAGCCAAAGAUGGUAGCGAAGGCGCCUUAGAUUUAUUAAAAUACAGCCUCCCCUCAUUACUUAGUGCAGCAAUCAGUCUGUGCUGGAGCAGUAACUCAUUGCAAUGACUUUGCUGCUAUGACUUGUGACCAUUUCUGCUUCUUAACUGGGAUGUUUGCCUAAGAAACAGCUGAUCCGCAGAAGCAUUUUCUUUUUACGACGCUAUUCUAAAUCAAUAGAGUUAGUUGCUGGUUGUUGGGGGGUUUUUUUUGGUUUGGUUUUUUUUUUGUUUGUUUGCUUUGUUUUGUUUUUUGUUUUUCCUUAAUGCAUUUUAACCAGUAAUGAACAUAGGGAUUUAGGAGGCCUAACAGGCACGGAGCCACCAGCCCGGAGGAGCACAGGCUGCCGGCACG
Long non-coding RNA from Centrocercus urophasianus (Greater sage-grouse), 2247 nucleotides. RefSeq lists it as uncharacterized. The transcript has 5 exons. The record is from RefSeq and is a predicted model, not a curated record. Lineage: Eukaryota; Metazoa; Chordata; Aves; Galliformes; Phasianidae.